UACGGAGGAUGCGAGCGUUAUCCGGAUUUAUUGGGUUUAAAGGGUGCGUAGGCGGAUCGUUAAGUCAGUGGUCAAAUUGAGGGGCUCAACCCCUUCCCGCCAUUGAAACUGGCGAUCUUGUGUGGAAGAGAAGUAUGCGGAAUGCGUGGUGUAGCGGUGAAAUGCAUAGAUAUCACGCAGAACCCCGAUUGCGAAGGCAGCAUGCCGGCUUCCUACUGACGCUGAAGCACGAAAGCGUGGGGAUCGAACAGG
This 252-nucleotide ribosomal RNA is filed under the name uncultured bacterium. Its description in RNAcentral is "partial 16S ribosomal RNA". It matches the Rfam family "Bacterial small subunit ribosomal RNA", at positions 524 to 776 of the family's 1533-position model. The record is from RNAcentral.